This is a long non-coding RNA of Daphnia carinata, 3146 nucleotides long. RefSeq lists it as uncharacterized. Lineage: Eukaryota; Metazoa; Arthropoda; Branchiopoda; Diplostraca; Daphniidae. The record is from RefSeq and is a predicted model, not a curated record. The transcript is spliced from 10 exons.
CCUGUACACCUAUGAUUCUUUUCUAGAACCGAUGCAGUAUGGAAUGCUUAAGUCCUUAUCUGACUAAAGUGCAAGUGUCCAAAAAAGUGAUGUGUUGCCCUCAGUGUACUUAUCUUAGUGUUAUGGCUUAAAUCCUUCUAAUAGAUAAACACUUAAGGGCAAGGAUCUGAAUCCUGACCAAGGUUCCUCAGCAAAUGCAAUAACAAGUUCCCAUGCAAAUUUUAACACAUAACUUGUUCGACUGUGAUUCAUCCCGAACAUGCAUGCAGUAUGAAAUGCUGGACAGGCAAAUGGGUGAAGUGUGGAAGAUGCCAAAGACCAUUUUGAUUACGUAGAGUGGAACUUAAAUUUCACUCAUCGAUUAUUUCAAGGCAGUUAUAACUAUGCUGUAAACAAUUCAUGAAACAUGGUCAUCUUUUCCUCUCAAUGACGAGGCAUUAAGGAAGCAAAUCCGAAAAAUGGGCAAAUAAGUUAUUCGUUUCACCCAUCCCAUAUGAAAAUGCGGCAGAGUUCAACAAAGAAUAGAGCAAACGAAUUCCUGUGGUCUGAUCAACAUGCUAAAUCCACAAGACGUAUGUCAUUUCUUUCAAAGAAUUCCUAAUGAAGAUUUUCAGUUUCUUCUGAAGAAUCGAAAACAUUCAUCUUAAGGACAUGAUCCUGACUCGCAGCAAUUAUCUUCACAGAAUGGUUGCGCCAAAUGCGAUUUAUCUGCAUUGCAUUCCCCGUCGCAAUGAAGAAGUUGUUACAGUGGAAAAUUUUAAAAGAUGGCAGGAGAGAUUUGCAAAACCGAACAGGAUCCAAGUCUUGAAUGGCAAACGAGCGCCUAAUGGUUAUGAAGUUCGCAGUUUGUUCCACUUUCAGCGCCAUUUCAAAAUCCUCGCUGCCAAAAGAGUUGUUUCUAACACUAUUAUUCUGGACUGGCGCCCACAGAACUAAAUUUACAUGCAAAAGGUGGGCGUGAGGAUUUGACUGGUCACUACAGUAAAAACUGCAGAGAGUGCGUACAACGACGACUUGUUAAAUCCUUGGAGUAUCAUCGUUGCAAAUACGAUUCGACUGGGAGAAAUACUGCCGGUAAGAUGAUCUCUGUAGAUUUUCGAAGAGCUCUUGAUCGUAUUAUAGCACCGCAUGCAGAUGAAGAUCUGCUGGAUCACAUUACCACAAUUUUUUACGACAAUUAUGGAAACGAUCCCUUUAAAUCGCUUGGGGUCGACUUCAAACAUAAACUUAGGUAAUCCGCUGCUUUUUGUCAAUUGAUAAAGCAUUUUAAGGGUACUGUUUGGCAUCGGUUGUAUUUUUCUGGAGUUUAAAGUCAAACAAGUAUAGGAAGUACGGGAGCAUUACACAACUGAAUGUCGGCCACUCUUGACAGUGGAAACAAUUUGGAGUGCAUUACCGUAGCUAGUUACUUCAAAUAAUUCUCCUGGUAUGUUGCACAUGUGACUAUAUAUUGUGCUUGGAAACGGCUGCCGGUGACCUUUGCGCCCAGAGCAUUGGUGAACACGGCACUCACUCGAAGUAAAAUACGUUUUUCGCUGGUGCGUCAUCAAUGGGCGUCAUAUAGUGAGUUCCUAGGAUUAAGGAAAUCUUUAACAUCUCAAAGGCCACCAGUACAGCUGUUAGCUGGAGCUCCUAAUCAAUGUCUUCGCGGAAUAUGCGCUAUGAGUGACAAGAUAGUUUGAAGAAGCAUAUCUGGUCGAUGACCGUUUCAAUGUUGAUUAAAAGGGACGUGAACCGAAUCCGCUUGCUGAAAUCAGAGAUGGCUGCAAAUUCUGUACAGUCAAGGUAAAUGUAUCAUUUGUGGCAUAUGAAAUUUAAACUAUUUUUGUGUUUUAAGGAUUUUUUUUGUGGGGGGAGGUGGUUCAUGCCUUUGCAUGUAAACUAGAAGACAAAAGUUUGAACCAAGUCAUUAAUGAAAAAAUAGUCACCGUCAAAACUGCUCCUUCUGCAAAAUCAUCAAUAUAUCGAUUGCAGUACCUCAAGGAACAGGGUUAUCAUAAAGGUAUUUUACACUUUUGUAACCAAUAACGCAUUUCAAUUUGUACCUUCCCUUAUGGUUUGGCAACUAUUUGGCUGAGCUGGCUUAAUGGGUUAACUAAAAUGAAGGAGUACAUUUUUAUGUUUUCGCUCGUAACAGCAUGCAAUAGGCUUAAAAAGUUCAUAUACGUUUUCAGGUAAUUCGACCGUAGUUUGAGAGAACGUCCAGCCUUUUAUGCGAUGCAUUUUUUUGUGUUUGUUUUUGUUGUCUACGUUUGGUAGUUUUACGGUAGAUUUCGUGGUUUCAUCGUUAACGUUUCCACGGUUUUUCAAUGCCUGUCUGUUUGUUAUUUGAGUAACAAAAUAGUUUAAUAAGUCGUAAUUUUAUAAUUAAACACUAAUUUUAUAUUAUAAAUUAUGAUUCACACACAGACGCGGCUUAACUAUAAGGCAAAACUGCCACAGCCCACCAACAGUCCACUAGAUGCUAGUGAAACCUUUUUUUUUUUUUUUUUUUUUUUAAAUCCCGUCACUUUUGGGCUACAGGUUUGCAUGUAAUAAUGCUUAGACUAAUAAAUUUAAUCACAUUAGGCACGAAAUUUUCAUUCGGGUGAAUUAAGGUGUCAUUAAGAUUUGAGAUAUUCUCUGGAAAUGUAGAGCUAUUCAGCGGUACAUUUGUCGUAAUUGAAAUUGUACUUUUAGAAGCUCCGCAAAUGUUUAUUUACAGUAAAUGACUUCUGCAACUAUGAAAAUGUUGUUAGCAAUGUAAAGGAGAACAUAGCUCAUUUUUUAGAUUUUCCGAAAUUGUGAUUUCUGGUUUUACUUCCGGUUUUUAAAUAGCUUAUGGUUGCUUACGUUUAAGUCUGUACAUUAAAAGAUUCAUAUUUUGGUGAUCCUCAUGAAAUUUGGGAUCGAAUCCAUGGGUCAGUACAAAAUACCUGAAAAUCGUCGAAAAUCGCAAAUUUUCAUGAACAUAGUUCAGGAAAAAUCGCGAUUUUGGUCAAAUCCGGCUUUUGGCUGAAAACACAACAGUUGUAUUCCAAAUUUGAUAAGGAUUACGAAUAUUGUAUUCAUUUCGUCACACGAUCAAUAUUUUCGGAGAUAUUGGCUACUUCCGGUUACUUCCGGAAAAAUUUUACGUGAUUUUGAAAAAAGUAAAAAAUGAACUG